AGUCAUAUGCUUGUCUCAAAGACUAAGCCAUGCAUGUCUAAGUAUAAGUAUUAUACAGCGAAACUGCGAAUGGCUCAUUAAAACAGUUAUAGUUUAUUUGAUAAUCAAACUUACAUGGAUACCCGUGGUAAUUCUAGAGCUAAUACAUGCUGUUUUGCCCAACUUUUUGGAAGGGCGGUAUUUAUUAGAUAACAAGCCAAUAUUCCUCUGGUCUAUUGUGAUGAUUCAUAAUAACUGAUCGAAUCGCAAAGGUUUUACCUGCGAUACAUCAUUCAAGUUUCUGCCCCAUCAGCUUUCGAUGGUAGUGUAUUGGACUACCAUGGCAUUUACGGGUAACGGAGGAUUAGGGUUCGAUUCCGGAGAGGGAGCCUGAGAAACGGCUACCACAUCUAAGGAAGGCAGCAGGCGCGUAAAUUACCCAAUCCUGACUCAGGGAGGUAGUGACAAGAAAUAGCGGACCGAGGCCCUUGUGGCUUCGGGAUUGCAAUGAGCCGAAUUUACACCCCUUAGCGAAGAUCGAUUGGAGGGCAAGUCUGGUGCCAGCAGCCGCGGUAAUUCCAGCUCCAAUAGCGUAUAUUAAAGUUGUUUGCAGUUAAAAAGCUCGUAGUUGGAUUUCUGGCAGGGUGUUUAAUCCUUCUUCUUGAAGCGUAUUAGACGCCUUACCAUCCUUCUGUUACCUUAUCUCGGCAUUCAUUUGCUGGUUAAGUGCUCAGAUAUUUUACCUUGAGAAAAAUUAGAGUGUUUCAGGCAGGCUAAGCCCGGAAUACAUUAGCAUGGAAUAAUGGAAUAGGACUGAGGUCUCUUUGUUGGUUUGAGGGACUACAGUAAUGAUUAAUAGGGACAGUUGGGGGCAUUAGUAUUUAAUAGUCAGAGGUGGAAUUCUAUGAUUUGUUAAAGACUAACCUAUGCGAAAGCAUUUGCCAAGGAUGUUUUCAUUAAUCAAGAACGAAAGUUAGGGGAUCAAAGACGAUCAGAUACCGUCCUAGUCUUAACCAUAAACUAUGCCGACUCGGGGAUCGGGGGUGCGAACUAUCCGCCUUCGGCACCGUACGAGAAAUCAAAGUCUUUGGGUUCUGGGGGGGAGUAUGGUCACAAGGCUGAAACUUAAAGGAAUUGACGGAAAGGCACCACCAGGCGUGGAGCUUGCGGCUCAAUUUGACUCAACACGGGAAAACUUACCAGGUCCAGACAUAGUGAGGAUUGACAGAUUGAUAGCUCUUUCUUGAUUCUAUGGGUGGUGGUGCAUGGCCGUUCUUAGUUGGUGGAGUGAUUUGUCUGGUUAAUUCCGUUAACGAACGAGACCUUAACCUGCUAACUAGUCACACAGAUCUCGUAUCUGCGUUGACUUCUUAGAGGGACUUUGUGACACUAAACACAAGGAAGUUUGAGGCAAUAACAGGUCUGUGAUGCCCUUAGAUGUCCUGGGCCGCACGCGUGCUACACUGACGCCUACAACGAGUACUUCCCGGCCCCGAGGGGCGGCCGGUAAUCAGCAAUAGGCGUCGUGAUGGGGAUAGAUCUUUGGAAUUCUGGAUCUUGAACGAGGAAUGCCUAGUAAGCGCGAGUCAUUAGCUCGCGUUGAUUAAGUCCCAGCCCUUUGUACACACCGCCCGUCGCUCCUACCGAUUUCGAGUGGUCCGGUGAAUCUUUUGGACUGUGACAGAGUCUCGUGCUACUGUUGCGGAAAAUCAGGUGAACCUUAUCACUUAGAGGAAGGAGAAGUCGUAACAAGGUUUCC
This 1738-nucleotide ribosomal RNA is filed under the name Strombidium sp. Its description in RNAcentral is "SSU rRNA". It matches the Rfam family "Eukaryotic small subunit ribosomal RNA". The record is from RNAcentral. Lineage: Eukaryota; Ciliophora; Spirotrichea; Strombidiidae.